Molecule: ribosomal RNA, 250 nt
Filed under: uncultured bacterium
Lineage: Bacteria
Description: partial 16S ribosomal RNA
Rfam family: Bacterial small subunit ribosomal RNA
Source: RNAcentral
UGAACACUUGGUGUUGGAGGUAUUGACCCCUUCAGUGCCGAAGCUAACGCGUUAAGUGUUCCGCCUGGGGAGUACGGUCGCAAGAUUAAAACUCAAAGAAAUUGACGGGGGCCCGCACAAGCGGUGGAGUAUGUGGUUUAAUUCGAUGCAACGCGCAGAACCUUACCUGGGCUUGACAUGGACUGGAAGAGUGGCGGAGACGUCCUCGCCCGCAAGGGCCGGUUCACAGGUGCUGCAUGGCUGUCGUCAG